UAUCAUCCUCAGACAGAUGGACA
This 23-nucleotide non-coding RNA is filed under the name Arabidopsis thaliana (thale cress). The record is from RNAcentral. Lineage: Eukaryota; Viridiplantae; Streptophyta; Magnoliopsida; Brassicales; Brassicaceae.